GAUGAACGCUGGCGGCGUGCCUAAUACAUGCAAGUCGAGCGAACGGACGAGAAGCUUGCUUCUCUGAUGUUAGCGGCGGACGGGUGAGUAACACGUGGAUAACCUACCUAUAAGACUGGGAUAACUUCGGGAAACCGGAGCUAAUACCGGAUGAUAUUUUGAACCGCAUGGUUCAAAAGUGAAAGACGGUCUUGCUGUCACUUAUAGAUGGAUCCGCGCUGCAUUAGCUAGUUGGUAAGGUAAAGGCUUACCAAGGCAACGAUGCAUAGCCGACCUGAGAGGGUGAUCGGCCACACUGGAACUGAGACACGGUCCAGACUCCUAAGGGAGGCAGCAGUAGGGAAUCUUCCGCAAUGGGCGAAAGCCUGACGGAGCAACGCCGCGUGAGUGAUGAAGGUCUUCGGAUCGUAAAACUCUGUUAUUAGGGAAGAACAUAUGUGUAAGUAACUGUGCACAUCUUGACGGUACCUAAUCAGAAAGCCACGGCUAACUACGUG
RNAcentral lists this ribosomal RNA (497 nucleotides) under uncultured bacterium. RNAcentral describes it as "partial 16S ribosomal RNA". It matches the Rfam family "Bacterial small subunit ribosomal RNA", at positions 28 to 507 of the family's 1533-position model. The record is from RNAcentral.